AGAUUGAACGCUGGCGGCAGGCCUAACACAUGCAAGUCGAGCGGCAGCACGGGUACUUGUACCUGGUGGCGAGCGGCGGACGGGUGAGUAAUGCCUAGGAAUCUGCCUGAUAGUGGGGGAUAACGUUCGGAAACGGACGCUAAUACCGCAUACGUCCUACGGGAGAAAGUGGGGGAUCUUCGGAACCUCACGCUAUCAGAUGAGCCUAGGGUCGGUAUUAGGCUAAGGUUGGGUAAGGGUUAAACGCCUACCGAAGGCUACGGUAUCCGUAACUGGUCUGAGAGGAUGGAUCAGUCACGACUGGAACUGACGACACGGGUACCAGACCUCCGUAACGGGAGGCCAGGCCAGGGUGGGAAUUA
RNAcentral lists this ribosomal RNA (362 nucleotides) under uncultured soil bacterium. Its description in RNAcentral is "bacterial SSU rRNA". It matches the Rfam family "Bacterial small subunit ribosomal RNA", at positions 26 to 365 of the family's 1533-position model. The record is from RNAcentral.